GACGAACGCUGGCGGCGUGCUUAACACAUGCAAGUCGAACGGAAAGGCCCUGCUUUUGUGGGGUGCUCGAGUGGCGAACGGGUGAGUAACACGUGAGUAACCUGCCCUUGACUUUGGGAUAACUUCAGGAAACUGGGGCUAAUACCGGAUAGGAGCUCCUGCUGCAUGGUGGGGGUUGGAAAGUUUCGGCGGUUGGGGAUGGACUCGCGGCUUAUCAGCUUGUUGGUGGGGUAGUGGCUUACCAAGGCUUUGACGGGUAGCCGGCCUGAGAGGGUGACCGGCCACAUUGGGACUGAGAUACGGCCCAGACUCCUGCGGGAGGCAGGAGUGGGGAAUAUAGCACAGUGGACGGAAGACUGAUGCAGAAACGCCGCGUGCGGGAUGACGGCCUUCGGGUUGUAAACCGCUUUCGCCUGUGACGAAUCAUAAGUGACGGUAAUGGAUAAAGAAGCACCGACUAAUUAAGU
Molecule: ribosomal RNA, 467 nt
Filed under: uncultured bacterium
Lineage: Bacteria
Description: partial 16S ribosomal RNA
Rfam family: Bacterial small subunit ribosomal RNA
Source: RNAcentral